Molecule: long non-coding RNA, 1501 nt
Filed under: Androctonus crassicauda
Lineage: Eukaryota; Metazoa; Arthropoda; Arachnida; Scorpiones; Buthidae
Source: RNAcentral
AUCUUCCGAUCUUUAUCGAGGUUCCACUGUAUUUCUAUUAAAAAGAUUUGUUUGCAUUUCCACGAACUGCCCUUUUGCAUUUCCAGAAAUCAAACUUAGAAACCUGUUUUAUCAGUUUUAGGCUAAAUAAAGCAGAGUACUGCUACAACUACUAUUCACUGUGUUACAACAGUUCGUAAAUGUUCAUCAAGGCGAAUUAAUUUUUGAAGAUGCAGUGACGAAAAAAUGCUGCUAAAAGCCGUGAGUCUGAUGAAUACCAGCGACGGUUCACUACAACAGUUUUUUCAGAAAAAUAUAAUAAAUCUAAUUUAAAUUGAUAGAUGCAGAUGACGCUCCUGAAACCUCCGAACAGUCGACCGAUAGAAGUUAUGACAAGCCACCAAUACCCGGCAAAAACUUGCAAUCAACCGAAGGAAGUAAUAAGUCACCUGAUAACAACUUACGGUCAACUGAAAGAAGCCGCGAUAAAUCGCCAACCUCGGGGAAGGACUCACAAUUCCAAUAGGUGACGCCGAGAAAAAUGGACUACAAACACAGUCCGAGCUCAGUUGCAGAAAGCGGGUCUAUACAAUUGUACAUCGCAGUCGGGUCAGGUAGUGGCAGACUACAAACGGUACCUGCAUCAAAGUUGUGGUCAUCGUCUGAACCUCAAAACCCAGCAGCUGUUUAACUGCUUCAUUUCCUCGGUGGAAACGUCGAAGUUCUAAAUUAUCAGCAUAUUUUUCAGGAACAAAAUCUGGUUGCCAGACUGUGUGUAUGGAUAUAGGGAUUUGUAGAGUUCCUUUAUGGAAGACAGAUCAUAUAUGAAGGACUCUACAAAUUUCUAAAACAAUUCAUAUCUGCAUAUAUGAAGCGCGUAUCCAUCACGAAACGGGAUAUUAACGUUUCAAAGAGACGGAAAUAUUUGGACCUAUCGCUAGAGAAACCAUCCGGCACUUUCUCCUGGAUGGAGAAAAUUCAACCCCUUAUUUUGGUCUCCGCGAUGGACUAGUCUGAGUAAGACUCGAAUACGGAGAAAUGCUUUGUUGCCCUAUAUUAUCGGGAUAAUACUUCGUUUCGGCCAUUAUCAGGUCGCAUCGAACUUCACAGUCUCGGAGUACCUUGCAGGUCAGAAUUCUGAGAUUUUUUACGUCAGUGACGUGAAAUCCCAGGAGACCGGAUCUGCAACCUUCGAGAUGAGAUCCGAGGAGGAACGCCGAAUCGUGAAGUAUUACCAUGAUAAUGUCAGAGUGACAAAGACGCAUUCCGAAGCAUUUCUCCUUAGUUCGAGUGGAACUCCGAUACAAUAUAUCAACCGGACACUCGAAAAAAUCAUCAUUCCCCAUAUGCCUGUAAACUCCACCACGUACAGACAUAUAGUUGCAACUAAAAUUCAGGGGGAAGUGGCAGAUCCCGAGAAAAGGAAGCGUCUUCACCAGGAAAUAAAUCAAACUGAAACUUAUAUUGGCAAUUGAGAACUGUUUCACCUGUUGGUUUAAAUUUGAAAUUUCCAUGAGACAAG